GUGUCAGCAGCCGCGGUAAUACGUAGGUGGCAAGCGUUGUCCGGAAUUAUUGGGCGUAAAGCGUGCGCAGGCGGUUUCUUAAGUCUGAUGUGAAAGCCCCCGGCUUAACCCUGGCGGUUCAUUGGAAACUGCGAGACUUGAGUGCAGAAGAGGAAAGCGGAAUUCCAAGUGUAGCGGUGAAAUGCGUAGAGAUUUGGAGGAACACCAGUGGCGAAGGCGACUUUCUGGACUGCAACUGACGCUGAGGCGCGAAAGCAUGGGGAGCAAACAGGAGUAG
This 277-nucleotide ribosomal RNA is filed under the name uncultured bacterium. RNAcentral describes it as "partial 16S rRNA". It matches the Rfam family "Bacterial small subunit ribosomal RNA", at positions 505 to 781 of the family's 1533-position model. The record is from RNAcentral.